CCUACGGGCGGCUGCAGUGGGGAAUAUUGGGCAAUGGGCGAAAGCCUGACCCAGCAACGCCGCGUGAAGGAAGAAGGCUUUCGGGUUGUAAACUUCUUUUGACAGGGAAGAGCAGCAGACUGUACCUGUCGAAUAAGCCACGGCUAACUACGGGCCAGCAGCCGCGGUAAUAGGUAGGUGGCAAGCGUUGUCCGGAUUUACUGGGUGUAAAGGGCGUGUAGCCGGGCUGACAAGUCAGAUGGGAACUCCGGGGGCUCAACCCCCGAACUGCAUUUGAAACUGUUGGUCUUGAGUAUCGGAGAGGCAGGCGGAAUUCCUAGUGUAGCGGUGAAAUGCGUAGAUAUUAGGAGGAACACCCGUGGCGAAGGCGGCCUGCUGGACGACAACUGACGGU
RNAcentral lists this ribosomal RNA (394 nucleotides) under uncultured bacterium. Its description in RNAcentral is "partial 16S ribosomal RNA". It matches the Rfam family "Bacterial small subunit ribosomal RNA", at positions 338 to 747 of the family's 1533-position model. The record is from RNAcentral.